This 364-nucleotide ribosomal RNA is filed under the name uncultured bacterium. RNAcentral describes it as "partial 16S ribosomal RNA". It matches the Rfam family "Bacterial small subunit ribosomal RNA", at positions 355 to 711 of the family's 1533-position model. The record is from RNAcentral.
UGGGGAAUAUUGGACAAUGGGCGAAAGCCUGAUCCAGCCAUGCCGCGUGUGUGAAGAAGGUCUUCGGAUUGUAAAGCACUUUAAGUUGGGAGGAAGGGCAUUAACCUAAUACGUUAGUGUUUUGACGUUACCGACAGAAUAAGCACCGGCUAACUCUGUGCCAGCAGCCGCGGUAAUACAGAGGGUGCAAGCGUUAAUCGGAAUUACUGGGCGUAAAGCGCGCGUAGGUGGUUUGUUAAGUUGGAUGUGAAAUCCCCGGGCUCAACCUGGGAACUGCAUUCAAAACUGACUGACUAGAGUAUGGUAGAGGGUGGUGGAAUUUCCUGUGUAGCGGUGAAAUGCGUAGAUAUAGGAAGGAACACCA